RNAcentral lists this ribosomal RNA (253 nucleotides) under uncultured bacterium. RNAcentral's name for it is "partial 16S ribosomal RNA". It matches the Rfam family "Bacterial small subunit ribosomal RNA", at positions 524 to 776 of the family's 1533-position model. The record is from RNAcentral.
UACAGAGGUCCCGAGCGUUGUUCGGAUUCAUUGGGCGUAAAGGGUGCGUAGGCGGUUGGGUAAGUCAGAUGUGAAAUUCCAGGGCUCAACCUUGGAACUGCAUUUGAUACUGCUCGACUAGAGUACUGGAGAGGAGACUGGAAUUCACGGUGUAGCAGUGAAAUGCGUAGAUAUCGUGAGGAAGGCCAGCGGCGAAGGCGAGUCUCUGGACAGUUACUGACGCUGAGGCACGAAGGCUAGGGGAGCAAACGGG